RNAcentral lists this long non-coding RNA (362 nucleotides) under Pongo abelii (Sumatran orangutan). RNAcentral's name for it is "lincRNA". The record is from RNAcentral. Lineage: Eukaryota; Metazoa; Chordata; Mammalia; Primates; Hominidae.
CAGUCAUCUGUCUUAGAGCUAUUGGAAUCCUGGAUCAUUGUGGGAAAUGAAAGAUACUUCAAUGGAAUCAGCAGCCAUUGAUCCAAUGCCAACUCCAAGACUGGAACGUCGCAAUGAUAGUUCCAAGGCGGAAAUUUGACGUAAUUCUUUUCGACACAGUUUUACAGGCAUCUUGCAUGUGAAUAACUCACAACUUUAAUUCAUGGAACAAAUUGAGAAAUAGUCUUUUUUGGGGGUUUGGUACUCCCUGGAAACAUAAGAGUGCUUUGGGCGCCUCUGGUGCCUUUCCAUGCCUGCCUUCUCUGCUGUUCUUGCUACUAGUGAAUUCUAAAUCAUGGCCAAGUGAUGCCAGCACUGGAUAA